CGCCGCCGUCAUCCCGGCGAAGGCCGGGAUCUCGCCGGCGCGUUUGGAUGCGAGAUCGAGAUCCCGGCCUUCGCCGGGAUGACGCUUUCG
This 90-nucleotide small RNA is filed under the name Sphingopyxis italica. RNAcentral describes it as "microRNA MIR1846". Lineage: Bacteria; Pseudomonadati; Pseudomonadota; Alphaproteobacteria; Sphingomonadales; Sphingopyxidaceae. The record is from RNAcentral.